Dermochelys coriacea (leatherback sea turtle) is the source of this 713-nucleotide long non-coding RNA. RefSeq lists it as uncharacterized. The transcript is spliced from 2 exons. The record is from RefSeq and is a predicted model, not a curated record. NCBI's taxonomy places the organism in Eukaryota, Metazoa, Chordata, Testudines, Dermochelyidae.
CUCGUUGUUUUUGCUGAUACAGACUAACCCGGCUAUCACUCUGAAACCUGGAAAACUAAUAACAGAUUUAUCAUUAAUAUUUUUGCAUUAUAUUUAUGAUAAAUGCCCAAGGGACCAAACAAAUAUGAAGAAAAAGUCUGGGGAGAGGAUAAACAGGUUACUCCCAGACAAAGAACAAGCCAUUGCCUCCAAGCAUGUUUCAAAAUCGAUUAGUAUUCACAUGUCAAGGGCCCAUUCAUUUGCAUUGGAGAAGGCAGGAACAGAUUGCUUUGCAUUUUAGCAAACACCAGUGGAGGAAGAAACCAGAAUGGAACUUCAUUCACCACUAGAUGCCAUGUCUGCUCCCCCCCAGCUUGAAUAAACUUUAUUUGGAGGAGGGAAGUAGCCUUCAGAAGAAUCCAUUUCAGAGGUUCAGUGGACAAUAAAAGAGAGAGGCAAAGAACCACAAGUUAUCUUGUCACCUAAGAAGACGAAAGCAUUUUGUCUUUAGAGAGAAAUCCUGACUAGAGGGGUGGUCAGCCAUCUUGCUUGAAGAAGUGUGUGUUUGAAAUUGGAAAACUCUCCAUGGAACAUGUUCAAGUUAACCUUAAUGCUAUUUACUUGGUAUGGUCACAGCCAGUCUCAAUACAGGAAUGUUGUAUGGUUAGGUUACUUACUUCUAUGUGUAUGGUAGUGUUCAGUAACUGUACAAAAUAAAAAUCUCUGAAAGCUGA